AUUGAACGCUGGCGGCAGGCCUAACACAUGCAAGUCGAGCGCGCGGCGGACGGGUGAGUAAUGUCUGGGAAACUCCCUGAUGUAGGGGGAUAACUACUGGAAACGCUAGCUAAUACCGCAUACCCUCACAGGUGCCCAGAUGUGAUUAGCUAGUAGGUGGGGUAAUGGCUCACCUAGGCGACGAUCCCUAGCUGGUCUGAGAGGAUGACCAGCCACACUGGAACUGAGACACGGUCCAGACUCCUACGGGAGGCAGCAGUGGGGAAUAUUGCACAAUGGGCGCAAGCCUGAUGCAGCCAUGCCGCGUGUGUGAAGAAGGCCUUCGGGUUGUAAAGCACUUUCAGCGGGGAGGCGUUACCCGCAGAAGAAGCACCGGCUAACUCCGUGCCAGCAGCCGCGGUAAUAC
Molecule: ribosomal RNA, 406 nt
Filed under: uncultured bacterium
Lineage: Bacteria
Description: partial 16S ribosomal RNA
Rfam family: Bacterial small subunit ribosomal RNA
Source: RNAcentral